ACAUCGGUAUCACAGUGGUUAGUGCAGUCUGAACAGAAAGACGCGGGUUCAAUUCCCGUCCGAUGUC
This 67-nucleotide transfer RNA is filed under the name Nippostrongylus brasiliensis. It matches the Rfam family "tRNA". From Rfam's summary of the family: Transfer RNA (tRNA) molecules are approximately 80 nucleotides in length. Their secondary structure includes four short double-helical elements and three loops (D, anti-codon, and T loops). Further hydrogen bonds mediate the characteristic L-shaped molecular structure. tRNAs have two regions of fundamental functional importance: the anti-codon, which is responsible for specific mRNA codon recognition, and the 3' end, to which the tRNAs corresponding amino acid is attached (by aminoacyl-tRNA synthetases). tRNAs cope with the degeneracy of the genetic code in two manners: having more than one tRNA (with a specific anti-codon) for a particular amino acid; and 'wobble' base-pairing, i.e. permitting non-standard base-pairing at the 3rd anti-codon position. The record is from Rfam by way of RNAcentral. Lineage: Eukaryota; Metazoa; Nematoda; Chromadorea; Rhabditida; Heligmosomidae.